GCCAGCAUGGCAUAGUGGUUUGAAUGCUGGACUAUGGCUCUGGAGACCAUGGUUCAAUGCCCAGCUUGGGCA
Molecule: non-coding RNA, 72 nt
Organism: Phrynosoma platyrhinos (Desert horned lizard)
Lineage: Eukaryota; Metazoa; Chordata; Lepidosauria; Squamata; Phrynosomatidae
Source: the annotation of a GenBank genome assembly